GUAGCGAACAGGAUUAGAUAACCUGGUAGUCCAUGCCGUAAACGUUGAGUGCUAGGUGUUAGUGGGGUCCAACCGUUAGUGCUGCAGUUAACGCAAUAAGCACUCCGCCUGGGGAGUACGGCCGCAAGGUUGAAACUCAAAGGAAUUGACGGGGGCCUGCACAAGCGGUGGAGCAUGUGGUUUAAUUCGACGCAACGCGAAGAACCUUACCAGGUCUUGACAUCUUCGGACAGCCCAAGAGAUUGGGUCUUCCCUUCGGGGACCGAAUGACAGGUGGUGCAUGGUUGUCGUCAGCUCGUGUCGUGAGAUGUUGGGUUAAGUCCCGUAACGAGCGCAACCCCUGAUCUUAGUUGCCAGCAUUGAGUUGGGCACUCUAGGAUGACUGCCGGUGACAAACCGGAGGAAGGCGGGGAUGACGUCAAAUCAUCAUGCCCCUUAUGACCUGGGCUACACACGUGCUACAAUGGAUGGUACAAAGGGAAGCCAAACCGCGAGGUCGAGCUAAUCCCAUAAAGCCAUUCUCAGUUCGGAUUGUAGGCUGCAACUCGCCUGCAUGAAGCCGGAAUCGCUAGUAAUCGCGGAUCAGAAUGCCGCGGUGAAUACGUUCCCAGGCCUUGUACACACCGCCCGUCCACACACGACGGAGAGUUGGCGAACCCCCAGGAAGUCCCGGUCGGUU
RNAcentral lists this ribosomal RNA (679 nucleotides) under Alkalibacillus salilacus. Its description in RNAcentral is "bacterial SSU rRNA". It matches the Rfam family "Bacterial small subunit ribosomal RNA", at positions 765 to 1448 of the family's 1533-position model. The record is from RNAcentral. Lineage: Bacteria; Bacillati; Bacillota; Bacilli; Caryophanales; Bacillaceae.